CCCGCUGAUUUCAUUUUGCUCUUAUUUCUUUCCAAAACAUUUACAACAAAAAUAUUGCAGCUCUAAUCUCCACGCCAAGAUUCCAAUUCCCACUCACAUACAGCUCAGGUGCACAAUCUGUAUAAACCCACCAAAGUCAUGCGGUAAUAUCUUCAUUCUCUGAACUGUAAUUGGUUAAAACAGUUUCCAGGAUAUGGAUGUUGACAUGAGAACCGCUAUUAAAAUCUGUUGAAAUAUUCUCCUUCUCUGAGAAUAAGUCCAAGCAAGUAUAAAAUUCUGGUCUGCCCCGACAAUGUAUGAUAUAGAGCUUUUUUCUAAUCAAACCGACCCACAGCACAGGGAUCGCAUCUUAUCUUAUAUAUCGAAGGUUUUAUCUUUUUGGUUGAGGUGAUCAAAUGAUGGUGGGGUUAUUCGUACUGGGUUGUACAGGAGUCGUGGUGUUCCUUCACGGAGCCAACUUUUUCUUCCAUGUUAUUUCCCAGAACUUCGCCCUUCGUUCUCUCAGCUUUCUGGGAUUUGCUGGCUGGUAGAUGAGAAGAAGAAUAGGUACGAGAUAAGCAAAUUGUUUCUUGGACGCAACAUGUGAUGAAGAUGGAGUACCUGGCGUUACGCAUUUGUAAAGGAUUUAUGAAAUCUUAUAGCAGAUUGUAGAAGGCAAGCUACUACUAUAACUGGGCAAGCAACAAAAUAAAUGGAAGGAUCCGGGCAUUGAAAUAUAGGCUCAACCAACUACUACUAUUUUCUAUUGUGAAAAACCCUUUUAAUUUUUGUUUAUGAAUCCACCCGUAACUUGUCUUAUAAUCUUCUUGUUCCUUCCCUUAAUCAUAGUAUGAUAAUUUGUUCCGAUGUUUCACUAUGGAAGUGAGAGUUUAUGACUGGAUAAUGCUCCUCACAAGUAAUUUAACCACUUAAUUUGGUGAUUUUUUUU
Molecule: long non-coding RNA, 928 nt
Organism: Mangifera indica (mango)
Lineage: Eukaryota; Viridiplantae; Streptophyta; Magnoliopsida; Sapindales; Anacardiaceae
Exons: 2
Source: RefSeq, a predicted model, not a curated record